UGCCCUCUCGUCUAAUGGUAGGACGCCAGAUUCUGGAUCUGGUUGUCGUGGUUCGAAUCCACGGGGGGCAGCCA
RNAcentral lists this transfer RNA (74 nucleotides) under Candidatus Omnitrophota bacterium. RNAcentral describes it as "Candidatus Omnitrophica bacterium tRNA-Gln". It matches the Rfam family "tRNA". Rfam says of the family: Transfer RNA (tRNA) molecules are approximately 80 nucleotides in length. Their secondary structure includes four short double-helical elements and three loops (D, anti-codon, and T loops). The record is from RNAcentral. Lineage: Bacteria; Pseudomonadati; Candidatus Omnitrophota.